Molecule: long non-coding RNA, 172 nt
Organism: Bradysia coprophila
Lineage: Eukaryota; Metazoa; Arthropoda; Insecta; Diptera; Sciaridae
Source: RefSeq, a predicted model, not a curated record
AGCGUGUUGUUUAACGACACAAGUAAUAAAUUAUGAGAAGUUACAUUUUCAACAAUUACAAUCCAAUCGACGUUAUUCAUUCCACAUGCGAUUCACACGUUAUAAUACAUAUACGUAAAUGUCGUAACGUUGGUCAUGCAUGUGGAUUGAAUAAGGAGAAUUGGAUUGUUAA